This is a long non-coding RNA of Phocoena sinus (vaquita), 3543 nucleotides long. Ensembl annotates it as CDC42 small effector 2. NCBI's taxonomy places the organism in Eukaryota, Metazoa, Chordata, Mammalia, Artiodactyla, Phocoenidae. The record is from Ensembl.
AGGAAGCGGCGAGCGCGCUGGGGAGCGCAGCUGCGGGCGUGGGGGGACAGCAGCCGCGGAGCCGGCCCCGAGAGCAGUCGCGGCAGGAGCGAGCGGCGGAGACAAAGGCUACGUUUGAUUACCUUGUGUCUCGACGUGUUUCUCCUUGGGUUUCUCCUGCCUGGGACUCUGCACUUCCUGGACUUUGGUGGCUAUUUCCUUUCCCAUGUUAGGUAAACACCUAGGAAUGGAAUGGCUGGGUUGUAGGAUAGGGCCAGUUGUGAGUGUGUGGAUUUUUGAGUAAAACCUCGAACCCAAAUGAGAAGAAACCUUCAAGGAACAACUUAUACUGACAGUGAGUCUACAGUCAUCUGUAUGCAUAUUAUGGAAUGUUCUCAACCCAGAGAUAGCUCUCUUGACAAGGAGUGAGUGACUACCUGUUAAGGUCCUGAGUCAAGACAACAAUUUUUAUACCUUUCCUGGUGGUUCAGAAACGAGUCCCUGUAGAAUCAAAAGCAAAGAAAGGAAACAAUCUGACCUUUCGUUUGUUAGAUUGACUAUAUAAGAUACUUGACUUCCAGGAACAAAAACACAGAGAAGUAAUAAAGUUAUUAUUUUGGCAUCUUUGGACAUCUAUCAUAUUGAGAAGCCUGCUUUGUGAAGCUUCCUGAAUUGAGAUUUGGAAACUUCAUUGGUGCUCAUUUAUAACUUGGACUGUAAGCAUGAGUGAAUUCUGGUUGUGUUUCAACUGCUGUAUUGCAGAACAGCCUCAACCUAAAAGGCGCCGGCGGAUUGACCGAAGUAUGAUUGGAGAGCCCACAAACUUUGUGCACACGGCUCACGUGGGGUCAGGAGACCUGUUCAGUGGGAUGAAUUCCGUUAGCUCCAUUCAGAACCAGAUGCAGUCCAAGGGAGGCUACGGGGGUGGCAUGGCUGCCAAUGUGCAGAUGCAGCUCGUGGACAUGAAGGCAGGAUAGCCCUGGACCCCUCCUCCAUGGGAUGGCGUCUUGUUCACCCUGUUGUGAUUACUCCAGUGACACGUUACUAUUCUGCUCUGAAGAAACUGUUGUCAGAAGAAUCCUGCAUUUCCUUCAGCUGGCAUGCAUGCCUUUGGACUCAUGGACAGAGUUCUUUGGAUUGUGGCUUAAUGAUUGAUUUUUAUGAAUGUGGAUCUGAUUUUAGCAUGAUCUUUUUUGUGAAUGCUAGCACUGUUUUGCAUUUUCUCCCGCAUUUUUAACAAUUUCUCUUUCCACCUCCAUCCCCUCUGCCUUAUGAUUUUAUUGGUAAGCAAAGAACUGCUAUUUUAAUUUGUCACCAUUUAUGUAUAUUUUGGAAGGUAUGAGAUCCAUAAGCACAAUGAUCACUUAUAUUCAUUUGAAACUUCAGCAGAGUAGUAUCUGCAUGCUUUAUGAAGUUGCCUGUCUGGGAGCCCAUGGGAUGCCAGAAAUGAACAUUUCCUUGCUGCCACGGGCCGAUGAUACUGCUGCUAUGAGAGAAAGGUUAGCUGUGGCACCAAGUCACAUCAGUUUCACACAAAAAAAGCAAUUUGUAGCUUAUUUUAGAAGUAUGACUUUUAUUUAGAGUUAUAAUAAGAAUAGCUUGCAUCAUAAGGCAUUCAUUCUGUUGUAAAUGUUCGAUAUAUUUAUUUGAGAGCAAGGGCCUGGGAUUGUAGACAGGUGUGGUGAGCUGUAUCUGUGUGUGUGUGGUAAUACCCUCAUUGGGUCUGACUCUGAGCGUUGUGAUCUUAGCAGCUGUUCAUUUCUUUGUGUGCUCAUUCUGUGUUCACAUGUCUAAUAUUAUGGUAUCCAGUUGCUUCCAGUAGCAGUUUGUUGAGCUUUUGGCCUGUAUUCCUAACUGUGGAUUUCAGUCAUUGGCUUCUCCAUCUUCCACAUAUUUUGGGACAAUGGAAGUUGCCAGGAGCAACAGUUGACCUGGCUGUGUUGUUGCCUGUGAAAACAACCUGCACGGUGACUUAUUAAGGUAUUGGUGAGAAACCUUUGGCUCAGGUUCCAAAAUACGUUUAUUCUUCACAAACUGUAUUUUCUGUAAAUGCUUCUCCUUCCUGAUAAGGGUGUAGUGUUAAGCCAAUUAGUGGUUUGUUUUUUCAUGAAAAUGUUUAAAUUACGUCCAGUUCAGCCCUAUGUAACAAACAGUUGCAUUUGGUAGGAAUAACAGUUCAUGUAGGAAAUGGUGCUUAACUGAAAACUGACUUAGAAAGCUGUAAGAAAUUAGGUAAUUGUAUAAAGGAAGAGAUCAUUUCUCUUCACCUUAGUCACAGGUUCUUGUGAAACAGGUAACUAACUAAAUAUUGGGUUUAUAUAGGCAAAACAUGGAAGCAUUUCUUCCCCCAGUUCUUUUGGAUUUAAUUUACCCAGUACAGCAGGCACUAGAAUACUCAGUCCUUAUAGUUCUUCAAUUUUGAGUCUUCGUAGGUAUCAAUCCCAGAGACACUGUCAAGGAAAAACAUAUGCUUAGAUGCUGAGCAGUCAAAAUAGGCAUUUUGCAGUUUAAUAACUUCCAAACUUGAAUUCAUCUUAUGUCAUUAAUUGUGUUGAUACUGCAUUCUGGAUUUUGCCUGAGUACCACUGUCAUUCUGUUCAGCCAGACAGAGCACUGCAGUGUGAAAGCUUUUUUUAAGGCCUCGUCAGUGCUGGAUGCUAUGUAGUCUACUUCUAUUCUGACUUUGACUUUAGUACAGAUUUUAUAACUCGUAGAACAAUACAGGGAGGCAUGGUCCCUUUUCCCCAAUUCAUGAUUUGAUUCUUUUUCCCAAUCACUCACUUUCCUGAUUCUCCAAGGGCCGAAUACUCUAGUGAGCACUGGAGCAUGGCUCCAUGGUAGGCCGAAGGCUGCGCUCUUCAGCCUCUGUUUUGCAGCUGCUGCUGACUUGACAGGCACAGGUAGCCACACUGUGUGCAAGAACACAUGCCCAGAAAGGUGCCAGUAAUUAUAAUUACCAACAAUUUUAAGAUACUAACCUUGGACACAGAGUUUUUAUGGAGUUAGCAGGUCCCACCUGGAUAAAUGGGUUCAUUAAUCUUGGGAGGUCAUUUGCUCCCCAUAACAAUGUGUGAAAAUUGAAGCUAACUAAAUAUGAUUGACUGUUAAUACUUUGCUGAAAUACAUGCUAACAACUGUUAACUAAUGACAUGCAUUCUGUAAAAAAGAGGUGCUUUCCCGUGAUGUAGGCCUGAAGUGGUGCCAGUGAGCACAGGUUGGAAAUGUGAACUGUGGUGACUGGGUUCAGCAUUUCCAAUGCAGCAUUAUCAGUGGGCCUUUAAAGAUACUUUGUGAGUAUAUAUUAGCUUUCACUUUUGUUAUUAAAUUAUAGCAGUUCUAUUAUAGAGAGCAAGUUUGAUAGAGAGCAAGUUUGCCUUGAUUUGAUUUUGUUUAAAAUGACUUCUCAGCACCCAGGAGAAAAAAUUGACAUAUUUUUAUAAUAUAAGCAUACUUUUUUUGUACAUUGUGUUCAUUCUUGAAUAAAGUAAGUUCAGUGUUGGCUUGUAGAUAAUAAAAAGAAAGUAAGUAUUUGAUUUUGUUUCAAUAAAUGUUUUUCAAUCCUGG